This 26-nucleotide non-coding RNA is filed under the name Cricetulus griseus (Chinese hamster). Lineage: Eukaryota; Metazoa; Chordata; Mammalia; Rodentia; Cricetidae. The record is from RNAcentral.
GACUAGAAUCCAUUAGGUCCGGGCCU